CUACGGGAGGCAGCAGUGGGGAAUAUUGGACAAUGGGGGCAACCCUGAUCCAGCAAUACCGCGUGUGUGAAGAAGGCCUGCGGGUUGUAAAGCACUUUCGGUCGGGAGGACUGCUUCUAGCACUAAUAUUGUUGGAAGUUGACGUUACCUUCAGAAGAAGCACCGGCUAACUCCGUGCCAGCAGCCGCGGUGAAUACGGAGGGUGCAAGCGUUAAUCGGAAUUACUGGGCGUAAAGCGCGCGUAGGCGGCUAGAUCAGUCGGGUGUGAAAGCCCCGGGCUUAACCUGGGAACUGCAUCCGAUACUGUCUAGCUUGAGUACAGGAGAGGAGAGUGGAAUUCCACAUGUAGCGGUGAAAUGCGUAGAUAUGUGGAGGAACACCAAUGGCGAAGGCAGCUCUCUGGCCUGAUACUGACGCUGAGGUGCGAAAGCGUGGGGAGCAAACAGGAUUAGAUACCCCUGUAGUC
This 466-nucleotide ribosomal RNA is filed under the name uncultured bacterium. RNAcentral describes it as "partial 16S ribosomal RNA". It matches the Rfam family "Bacterial small subunit ribosomal RNA", at positions 339 to 795 of the family's 1533-position model. The record is from RNAcentral.